GAUGAACGCUGGCGGCGUGCCUAAUACAUGCAAGUCGAGCGAACGGACGAGAAGCUUGCUUCUCUGAUGUUAGCGGCGGACGGGUGAGUAACACGUGGAUAACCUACCUAUAAGACUGGGAUAACUUCGGGAAACCGGAGCUAAUACCGGAUAAUAUUUUGAACCGCAUGGUUCAAAAGUGAAAGACGGUCUUGCUGUCACUUAUAGAUGGAUCCGCGCUGCAUUAGCUAGUUGGUAAGGUAACGGCUUACCAAGGCAACGAUGCAUAGCCGACCUGAGAGGGUGAUCGGCCACACUGGAACUGAGACACGGUCCAGACUCCUACGGGAGGCAGCAGUAGGGAAUCUUCCGCAAUGGGCGAAAGCCUGACGGAGCAACGCCGCGUGAGUGAUGAAGGUCUUCGGAUCGUAAAACUCUGUUAUUAGGGAAGAGCAUAUGUGUAAGUAACUGUGCACAUCUUGACGGUACCUAAUCGGAAAGCCACGGCUAACUACGUG
RNAcentral lists this ribosomal RNA (497 nucleotides) under uncultured bacterium. RNAcentral's name for it is "partial 16S ribosomal RNA". It matches the Rfam family "Bacterial small subunit ribosomal RNA", at positions 28 to 507 of the family's 1533-position model. The record is from RNAcentral.